CUCGACAUAUAGAUGGCGUUACGAAAGCGAAAUUACCUCCUCGAGACUACACGGACCGUCGAGCAUCUGAUAUGUCAUAUAAAAUGUAGCUAUUUUGUUAUAUAUUUAUUUAGCUUGCAGAGGUUUUCUUUUUGGCUUUUUAUUAGUUUUGUUUUUUACCUUGGAAACAAUUAAAUGACAGUCAUCAUGAUAAGCCAGGUGGGACUUUUGACGUUAUCAAUAAAAAGAGUGUAUUGCUGACAUAAAAAUUUAUUACUGCAUGAACGUCUUUAAGAAGAAGUCAGGCCAAGAUGAAAACCGAGAAAUGAUUGCUGGCAUCAAAGAAAUUUGACGAACAAAUAUAAAAACAAGAGGGACGAGACGCUAGACAAGAAGAACGUGACAAACGUGACCGUAAGAAAGACAGAAAAGAACAAGAAGAAUCAGACCGACAACAAGAAGAACGAGCUUCACAAUUUCAAGAAGAUCUUGAUAUAAAGCAAAGAAAGUUAUUGAUCCACUUCGAAGCAACAGUCGAAGAUGAAUUUGGAGAAGUAGAAUUUGGAAUCUGCCGAAAAAUAACUUUCAAUUAUUAAAUUUUGCGAAAAAUGUUCAGAAAAUUGAUCUGCUCUCAUGUUUCACCCAAACAUUCAGGUGUAUUGCCAGAAGGGAUAAAGGAAAAAUGUCUAAAAAAAGCAGUGAAGUAAAUUGUUGUAAAAACAUAACAAAAGUGAGAAAUAAAUUCUGACAAGAAGCUGUUGUGUUAAAGCUGUCGAUAGCAACAGACACAGAUUUCCUGGUUUUUUAAGAGGCCCAAUAUGUUUAAUACUUAAGGUCACUUUCUUAAGCCUUAAGACCAUGAAAAUCUCAGUACUAAACAAUUCUAAUAUGUGAAAAAUAUUAGAAUCAGUAUUAGAACCAGUUUCAAUGCAUGAACAAUUUUGGAUUCUAUACAAAUCAUGAAGUCUAUGAAAUUUUCAAAGGUAAAUAGGAAAAUAAUAAGUGGUGUAAAUUUUACAUUUAACAUAUUUACUCAUCAGCUCUUUAAUUGCUAAUUUGUUCAUAGUUAUGAACGUUACUAGUGAAUUGAGUACUUUUACCAACCUUGUAUAAUUGUUUAUUUUUAUUGUAUAAAUUGUGAAUUUUUUUGCCAUAAUCUUGUUUCACAAUAUAGUAAUAAAUUUUGUGAAUA
Long non-coding RNA from Anthonomus grandis grandis, 1171 nucleotides. RefSeq lists it as uncharacterized. The record is from RefSeq and is a predicted model, not a curated record. NCBI's taxonomy places the organism in Eukaryota, Metazoa, Arthropoda, Insecta, Coleoptera, Curculionidae. The transcript is spliced from 2 exons.